Molecule: long non-coding RNA, 1841 nt
Organism: Esox lucius (northern pike)
Lineage: Eukaryota; Metazoa; Chordata; Actinopteri; Esociformes; Esocidae
Source: Ensembl
UGUGUGUGUGUGUGUGUGUGUGUGUAACCUUGGGGUCAGAAGACUUGCAUUAGCUCCCAGGUAACCUAAUGUCUUGGCAAGCUAACAGUCUUAAGGUGCAAAGGUCACUUAAACAUGCUAAUGAUUUCUCAGUGUCUCAAGACAUGUUACAUGUCUUUUUGUGUUGUUAUGAUGUAGUAUUACUACAUAAUACCACUAUUUCAACCUGUAGUAAUAACACUGGACUGGUCAGAUUGUACAGUGUGCUGUCCUGUUCUCGAGUAAUGGUUAUCUUUACUAGUAACUAACUAGUUUACUCCUGGGCAAAUUAUCUCAGUAUUUCAAUGCAACUAGAGUCAGUGAGCUGUUACUGUAGGAUUAAUUUGCAGCAGGAUGAAGAAGUCUGAACUGAAUAUUGUAAUGUCACUUUAUCAUUGUCACCAUUCUGAAUUAAAAAAGCUGGUCUUUUAUUUCUCAGAUGUUUGAUAUGUAGAGUAAUAAUGAAUGCCAAAUCAUGUAAACGUGGAGACAUUGUUGAUGUUGUAAGAUUGCUGAGGGAGUUAUGAGAGGACUUCUGGGCUAAGGUUGGCUGCAAAUGAGACAGUCGAUUAUUCCAUGCUCACUUUUUUUGCCCUAGCGGAACAAAGCUAGUCCCCUAAAAAGCAUUGAUCUCGCCACACUGUCAACUGGCCUAUAUAAGCUGUGUCAGUUACUGUCUUACAAAACCCAAUCUCCAGUUGUGUCGCGACUGGAUACAGCAUUUGAUUUCUACAGUUGAUUGUCAAUUGUGUGUUGAUUUGAAUGAAUGAAUGACUGACUGACUGUACAUUACUGUAGUGCUACAGCUUUACCUGCUUUACCUGAAGCCUUUCAUAGUUGAUUAGCAACAACAACUAACUUCGAAAUUUGCAAUCAGGGUCUUUAAGUACCCCGAGAAGGGUGGCACUAAAAAAAAAAAGCACAGAAUGUAUUGUGUUGUAAACUUCUAGUUUUAUUUUUUGUUGCCAAAUCUUAUAAUUUUUUUCCCCAAGGUUUUACGUCCAGCCAUACUCUGCCUAUGCUGAUGUUUACUGAUGGUUGGGUUAAAAAAAAAAAAAAAAAAAACCCUAAUGGAUGUUAUUGUUUAUUUCGUUUGAAGACUGGUUUGAGCUCCUAACUGCAGGCGGAGUUAUGAAGACUGGACCAAUAGCUUCCUCUUGUUUGAAUUGCUGUGUCAGAUUUGGAGUCUGCUCACACUGGCCUCGGGACAACCUCUGCUGCUCACAAUCCCCACAGUAAACCAUCGCCUGAUCACUGAUCGGUUUAUAAUGCUUUAAUUGCUAAUGCUAAAAUAGUCAUGGCGAACCUGUGCCGUUUUGUUAGGCAUGGUAACAUGGGUGUCAGAGGAGUUGGUUAAAGCAUGUAACAUCUGGGACCAAGCUAACAACAGACUGUGACCCCAGAGAACAUUCUAGUAUUGUACAUGAAUAACACUGCAACAAACAACAACACAAUAGUGAUCUUUACAAUAGUAGUGCUGUGCAGUACAUUGUAAAAACCUGAAAAUAUCUUUGCUAUUUUCAGACCAUUUACAGGCCUUCCUUGGGGAGAGCAGAGGUUGUCAUGGUUACUCAGAGCUGCUGUCCCCCUCUCCACUCCUGUGGAUCUUAGUGUGUUAAUGAAGUAUUAGUUUGUACUCAUUACCUGACAGCUGUCAUGAUGUUCCCAGACAGUAUUUCUCUGCAAAGUAACAUACUGCCGUUACCUGCAAGUUGUGGGUAAUUAUUUGUCAUCUGUUUUCGCUAGUGUAGAAUGACUGAUAUUAGGAUUUUAUAUACAAAAAGACAUCGUAUACACACAUUCAUUGAGUUUUUAAAGAGAAC